UGGGGAAUUUUGGACAAUGGGCGAAAGCCUGAUCCAGCAAUGCCGCGUGUGUGAAGAAGGCCUUCGGGUUGUAAAGCACUUUUGUCCGGAAAGAAAUCCUUGGCUCUAAUACAGUCGGGGGAUGACGGUACCGGAAGAAUAAGCACCGGCUAACUACGUGCCAGCAGCCGCGGUAAUACGUAGGGUGCAAGCGUUAAUCGGAAUUACUGGGCGUAAAGCGUGCGCAGGCGGUUUGCUAAGACCGAUGUGAAAUCCCCGGGCUCAACCUGGGAACUGCAUUGGUGACUGGCAGGCUAGAGUAUGGCAGAGGGGGGUAGAAUUCCACGUGUAGCAGUGAAAUGCGUAGAGAUGUGGAGGAAUACCGAUGGCGAAGGCAGCCCCCUGGGCCAAAUACUGACGCUCAUGCACGAAAAGCGUGGGGGAGCAAAACAGGAUUAGAUACCCCUGGUAGUCCACGCCCUAAACGAUGUCAACUAGUUGUUGGGGAUUCAUUUCCUUAGUAACGUAGCUAACGCGUGAAGUUGACCGCCUGGGGAGUACGGUCGCAAGAUUAAAACUCAAAGGAAUUGACGGGGU
This 576-nucleotide ribosomal RNA is filed under the name uncultured bacterium. RNAcentral describes it as "partial 16S ribosomal RNA". It matches the Rfam family "Bacterial small subunit ribosomal RNA", at positions 355 to 919 of the family's 1533-position model. The record is from RNAcentral.